AUUGAACGCUGGCGGCAGGCCUAACACAUGCAAGUCGAGCGGAUGAAGGGAGCUUGCUCCUGGAUUCAGCGGCGGACGGGUGAGUAAUGCCUAGGAAUCUGCCUGGGAGUGGGGGAUAACGUCCGGAAACGGGCGCUAAUACCGCAUACGUCCUGAGGGAGUACGUGGGGGAUCUUCGGACCUGACGCUAUCAGAUGAGCCUAGGUCGGAUUAGCUAGUUGGUGGGGUAAAGGCCUACCCAGGCGAGGAUCCGUAACUGUUCUGAGAAGAUGAUCAGGCACACUGGAACUGAGACACGAUCCAGACUCCUACGGGAGGCACCACUGGGAAAUAUUGGACAAUGGGCGAAAGCCUGAUCCAGCCAUGCCGCGUGUGUGAACAAGGUCUUCGCAUUUUAAAACACUUUAAGUUGGGAGGAAGGGCAGUAAGUUAAUACCUUGCUGUUUUGACGUUACCAACAGAAUAAGCACCGGCUAACUUCGUG
Molecule: ribosomal RNA, 484 nt
Filed under: uncultured bacterium
Lineage: Bacteria
Description: partial 16S ribosomal RNA
Rfam family: Bacterial small subunit ribosomal RNA
Source: RNAcentral